UAACCUUCUCUCCAUUUCGUUCUUGCUGAAAUCUUCUUGUUCGACUUAGUUAUGGGUUUGUGUUCUCAAAAUUGGAAUUCCCAAAAUUGAAAUCCCUUUGCAAAGCCACUCGUUCCUUCCUCACGCUCCACCGUUGUAGCCUCCAACUGUGUGCUCUCGGUUCGCAUUCGUCAACGGUUGCCGACUCAUCACAGCGAAAGGAGGACAGGAAGAAGAAUUUAGCUCUCGCUCCCUUUACAAAGUCACUCGCUGACAAAAAAGCUAUGUAAGAAAUCGAAGCUCAUCCACAAAGCGUCGAGUCUACUCCUUAUCUUCUCCUCAACCUGUAAACCGUUGGCACUGCUGUGCUCACGCCUCUAGGAAGUUGCUUUGCCUGAUUAAAACAAGUUCUGUUGCAAGCAGAAGAGGAACUAAUGAAAAAACGUUCUUCCAAGCUUACCAAUGAGGCAGCUGCCCCAAAACCUAAGAAAAUUGUUGGCAAGAUGAAGGUGCUUUAAGGGCAUCUGCAUUUAAUUGUUUGUAACUAAAACAUUUUGAUUGUACUUAUCUGUAGUAUUGAUUGGAUAUUUGUUUCUUCCAGUUUAUCUUCCUUUUUAGUUAUGGAUUAGCCAACUUGUUAUUUUUUUCUUUAAUUUUCCAACAUCCUUUCCUCUCUGUCCAUACAUGUCAUUGGAAACAUAUGCUUGCAUGCUGAGGCUGAAAAGUUCAACUGAAGAAAACAACAUAAGAAUGCAGCCAGGAUCUGGUGAAACACAUCUCUUCUUCCUAGAUAGUUUAGGAGAUGAACUAAUUGUUGAAGUUCAAGACUCCAAGGGGAAGCAUUUGGGUCGUGUCUUUGUACAAGUGGCUGCUGCUGCUGAAGAUUUGACUGACGAGUUGCGCUAGUAGUCUAUUUACCGUGAGCCAGAACAUGAACCUGUAGGCAAGCUUCAGCUGUAUAUAUGCUACUCAACUUCAGAUGAUAAUAGUCAUCUCAAGUGUGGUUAUGUUGCAGAAACAGUUGCUUAUGACCUUGUCUUGGAAGUUGCAAUGAAGGUUCAAUGAUUCCAACAAAGAAAUUUAUAAUUAUAUGGAUCAUGGAAAUGGUUGUUAACAGAGUUUGCCUUGUAUUAUGGAGUUUCCAAUGUCUACACCAAGCUAAGGUCUGGCAUCUGUACAUUUUUUACAUGUAUCUUUCUUAUGUAAUGGAUGUGGCCACGCCUACUGCUGACUGUCUGGGAUUGGUGCAUGAAUUGUUAGUGCCAGUUGUUAUGAAGGGCCAUACUAAAGGAGCAUUGACUCAUUAAGAGUUGUUAUGUUGCAUCGUAAUGGGUAUCAAGAAUACCACAUAUUUUAUAUUCUGUUUAUUACUAUGUGCAAAAUAAAAUGAA
Long non-coding RNA from Hibiscus syriacus, 1370 nucleotides. RefSeq lists it as uncharacterized. NCBI's taxonomy places the organism in Eukaryota, Viridiplantae, Streptophyta, Magnoliopsida, Malvales, Malvaceae. The record is from RefSeq and is a predicted model, not a curated record. The transcript has 7 exons.